This 796-nucleotide ribosomal RNA is filed under the name Streptomyces sp. DB8. RNAcentral's name for it is "bacterial SSU rRNA". It matches the Rfam family "Bacterial small subunit ribosomal RNA", at positions 44 to 856 of the family's 1533-position model. Lineage: Bacteria; Bacillati; Actinomycetota; Actinomycetes; Kitasatosporales; Streptomycetaceae. The record is from RNAcentral.
GUGCUUACACAUGCAAGUCGAACGAUGAAGCCCUUCGGGGUGGAUUAGUGGCGAACGGGUGAGUAACACGUGGGCAAUCUGCCCUUCACUCUGGGACAAGCCCUGGAAACGGGGUCUAAUACCGGAUAACACUCUGUCCCGCAUGGGACGGGGUUAAAAGCUCCGGCGGUGAAGGAUGAGCCCGCGGCCUAUCAGCUUGUUGGUGGGGUAAUGGCCUACCAAGGCGACGACGGGUAGCCGGCCUGAGAGGGCGACCGGCCACACUGGGACUGAGACACGGCCCAGACUCCUACGGGAGGCAGCAGUGGGGAAUAUUGCACAAUGGGCGAAAGCCUGAUGCAGCGACGCCGCGUGAGGGAUGACGGCCUUCGGGUUGUAAACCUCUUUCAGCAGGGAAGAAGCGAAAGUGACGGUACCUGCAGAAGAAGCGCCGGCUAACUACGUGCCAGCAGCCGCGGUAAUACGUAGGGCGCAAGCGUUGUCCGGAAUUAUUGGGCGUAAAGAGCUCGUAGGCGGCUUGUCACGUCGGAUGUGAAAGCCCGGGGCUUAACCCCGGGUCUGCAUUCGAUACGGGCUAGCUAGAGUGUGGUAGGGGAGAUCGGAAUUCCUGGUGUAGCGGUGAAAUGCGCAGAUAUCAGGAGGAACACCGGUGGCGAAGGCGGAUCUCUGGGCCAUUACUGACGCUGAGGAGCGAAAGCGUGGGGAGCGAACAGGAUUAGAUACCCUGGUAGUCCACGCCGUAAACGUUGGGAACUAGGUGUUGGCGACAUUCCACGUCGUCGGUGCCGCAGCUAAC